CUGGAUUUAUUUAAUACACCAGGGUUCACAGACGGCCGCACGUAUCAUGCGGCCGUCCCCCUGCUGUCGACGGAUCAGAAUCCGUCGAUCCUCGACCCAUGGUGCUGCUGUUCCGGAUUGAGCAACUAAAAAACAAAACAAGUCACAAAUCCCAGGGCCUACGCUCUACAUUUCACCAGUAGAGGCAUGGUCGGAAUAAUAGCAUUGCACGCACCGACGUCAUUUGUACCCAUUGACAAUCGUCAAUGUGGUCAUGUCGGACACGCCGGUCACGUCUCCGAAAUUGGACGUUCCCGACGCACGACGAAGGUACUACCCGGACACCCUUAUACAGUAUAACAUAUUCCGCGACCUCACAUAAAUCUUUUCCGUAUCUUUUCUUCAUAUCUUUUCUUCCAGUAUAACAAAAAUUCCGCGACCUCACCAUACCGAUGAGAUCGCCGACUUCUGAGGACAAGCGACGACAGUGGAAUAUUGCAAGAAUGAUGAUUACGCUUGCCCCCCAUCUGCCUAUUUAAGCAACUACUUAGGGGGUUUGAUUCAUAUCCAAAUCUACCGGAAAAUCCCAACUGCAAGUAGGUCUUCCGUCGACCACACAGCAAGGUAUUGUUUCUAUUCUUGCCCUAGUUGAUUCAAUCAAUCCAGUGGUUUUUCCCAAUCCCUAAUUGCUCAAUCCCUAAUUCUUCAAUUCUUUCCUCGGCUCCAGCAGAACAAAGCAACCGUUCUCCCGCUCCUACCCUGGUACUACCCGAAAUUCUUCUUGAAAAUCGCCAAAGGUCGGUAGCUAUUUCUGAUUCUGAUCUUUCCGUUAAAAUUUAUGUGGAUUUUCUUUGCACCGUGAAUUAUGUUCUUUGAACCAGGGUUUACUAGUUUCUAUUCUCGUCUUCAAUAUGAUGAUUUUUGGGGUUCAGUAUUUUAUUUUUUAAGAUAUCCGAUUGCUUUUUAUCUUUUUCAGUAUUUUAUUUUUGGGGUUCAGUAUUUUGUCUUCUUCUUAGUAUAACUCUGAAUAAUUCAAUCUCGGUCUGUGAUUUUUUCAUCUUCUCUUCCAUAAAGAAAUAAGUCUGUGAUAGUAAUGUUUUAUUCAACAAUCGUUUUUUUUUGAGAUUAUGGUAUUUGGAUAUUCUGGAAAUUUUUUCCAAUAAUUUUAACUUCUGCUCUAAUAAUCAAUGCUCAAAUCAUAAAUUAAUAGCUAAAAAUAACUUGUGGACAAAUGUUUAUCUUAGUUAGGCAAUGAAUUCUAGAAAAAGAAACGCCCCCGAUGGAAACCGCGCUCAGAGGAGAAGAGGUAACUGCAACGACGUUAUCGUCAUCAGUGACGAUGAAUCAGAGGACGAUUUAGUUGCAGAUUCACCAAUGACGAGGCCUGUUACUCCUAGACGUCCCACAACCCGAACUGGAACCGAUGCCCCACAGAACUCAGAUAUGCGGGUGAUGAUACCCCUGGUCCAUCAGAUCAAGCCCAGCAGGCCCACUUGACCAGUGAAAGAAGGCCCGGUCCAGUAGGAAAGUGUAUAAAUAUCCCUAGGGGUUGAAUGUAGAGG
Molecule: long non-coding RNA, 1541 nt
Filed under: Zostera marina
Lineage: Eukaryota; Viridiplantae; Streptophyta; Magnoliopsida; Alismatales; Zosteraceae
Description: long non-coding RNA (ZMAR_LNC005407)
Source: RNAcentral